GUAACUGGGAUAUGAUACCCAAUUGGCCAAGACAUGAGAUCAAUUCCGUUAAGAUCAUUUGAUCUUUUACCGCAGAAAUUACUAUAUACAAGUACCUUUGUCUAUCAUUUGCUAGAAGUUAUUAUUUGUUGAAUAGUAUUUCUCCUUGUUAUUAGAUUUUGUUAAAAACAAAUAAAGGAGAAUUUACAAGAAAGAAGAGAAAAAGAAUGAGAGGAAUAAAAGGGGAGAAAAGAAGGAGAGUACUCAGAGUAGUAGGAAAUAAGAAAUGAGCCUGUCUCGGCUAAUCAAUUAGAUAAACGUUCUAAGUUUAUCAAAUGGCUUGAUUGUAAAUAUGCUAAACAGAAACUUGUGACAUGGCUACGAUCUGGAUGUCUACCUGUUCGAACUCGAGCUGACUCAGUUGCUUGGGCCUGGUGACGUUGGUAGACAGUGUAUAACUCUGUUAAUAAGAAAUUUGAACACGGUGUAACAGACAUUACAGUUGGGAGGAAUUCAUUUAUGGUGGUGCCGCCGUACAGUUGUUUAAAUUAGGCUAUAAUGUUGAAGGAUGAACUUUGAAGAACGGGUGGUAGGAACAUAAAAGUUUCCGUCGAUCAGGAUUGAAUUGUUUCGAAUCUACCCACUUUGGACGGAGCAAGAUUCUGAAAUCCCUAUUGCUAAUAGAGGCAGUGAAGUUGGUCUGAAUGACCGAGGUAGCGGAGUAUUGUGUGAAGGUAGUAGGUCUCAACAAACAGAGGGGUUGGAAGAAAUUGUAUUUGAGGAAGGGUUUGAAGCUGUUGUCCCAGUUAUUGAUGGGCUACAAAGCCCGUGUAAUCAAGGAGCAAAUGACACAGGGGACAAUAUAUAUCCCCUAUUCAAACAAUCGAGACUUUGGAAACAGUUGUGGCUAGUAAUCACAUCAGUGUUGAACAGUUUGUGGACGAGCCAAAAGUGGGAACUGUGUUUAAGAACUGGGAGGAUCUAGAAGAGUAUUACAAAGACUAUGCGGAACAACAAGGCUUUGGUGUGAGUAGAGUCCAAGGCGUGUUUUCGAAGGGGGAUAUAUGUGUUAGGACCGCAAUAACAUGGAGAUGUGAGUGUUGGGGGAUACCCGAUAUGAGGGCCCUUAGGGAAGCAAGGAAAAGGGCUAAGGCGAUGGGUAUCUCUGAAACUGGAGGAGUUGUUGGGGGAAAAGUAUAUGAUAAUGAGUUAAAUCGUAGGAAGAGGAAGUCUAAAAAAUAUGAUUGCUCCGCAAUGCUGUGUGAGAGUUUAAAUUGUGAGAAGGAGUGGGUGGUGAGGAAAGUAGUUCUUGACCAUGCUAACCAUACGCCUCUCCCUAGUCAGUCGAAGCUUGUAAAGGAGUAUAGGAUGAAACAUUUUACUUCUAGGGUGAGGAAGAGGCUGUUGAAUUACUAUGAAGAGGGAGUAUCCGUGACUUAACAGAACUUAACUUGUUUUUCUUAGUUUUAUUUAUUUAUUUAUUUUUAUUUUUUUGCUGAA
Molecule: long non-coding RNA, 1479 nt
Organism: Chenopodium quinoa (quinoa)
Lineage: Eukaryota; Viridiplantae; Streptophyta; Magnoliopsida; Caryophyllales; Amaranthaceae
Exons: 2
Source: RefSeq, a predicted model, not a curated record